AUGCACACAUACAUUCCUGUCGAAGUCCAAGCUG
RNAcentral lists this non-coding RNA (34 nucleotides) under Mus musculus (house mouse). The record is from RNAcentral. Lineage: Eukaryota; Metazoa; Chordata; Mammalia; Rodentia; Muridae.